Molecule: ribosomal RNA, 446 nt
Filed under: uncultured bacterium
Lineage: Bacteria
Description: partial 16S ribosomal RNA
Rfam family: Bacterial small subunit ribosomal RNA
Source: RNAcentral
CCUACGGGAGGCAGCAGUCGAGAAUCAUUCACAAUGGGGGAAACCCUGAUGGUGCGACGCCGCGUGGGGGAAUGAAGGUCUUCGGAUUGUAAACCCCUGUCAUGUGGGAGCAAAUUAAAAAGAUAGUACCACAAGAGGAAGAGACGGCUAACUCGGUGCCAGCAGCCGCGGUAAUACAGAGGUCUCAAGCGUUGUUCGGAAUCACUGGGCGUAAAGCGUGCGUAGGCUGUUUCGUAAGUCGUGUGUGAAAGGCGCGGGCUCAACCCGCGGACGGCACAUGAUACUGCGAGACUAGAGUAAUGGAGGGGGAAGCGGAAUGCUCGGUGUAGCAGUGAAAUGCGGAGAGAUCGAGAGGAACACUCGUGGCGAAGGCGGGUUCCUGGACAUUAACUGACGCUGAGGCACGAAGGCCAGGGGAGCGAAAGGGAUUAGAUACCCCAGUAGUC